CCUACGGGAGGCAGCAGUAGGGAAUUGUUCGCAAUGGGCGAAAGCCUGACGACGCAACGCCGCGUGGAGGACGAAGACCUUCGGGUCGUAAACUCCUGUCGGGAGGGAAGAACGGUUUACGGGUUAAUACCCCGUAGGCGUGACGGUACCUCUAGAGGAAGCCCCGGCUAACUCCGUGCCAGCAGCCGCGGU
This 192-nucleotide ribosomal RNA is filed under the name uncultured bacterium. Its description in RNAcentral is "partial 16S ribosomal RNA". It matches the Rfam family "Bacterial small subunit ribosomal RNA", at positions 338 to 521 of the family's 1533-position model. The record is from RNAcentral.